This 782-nucleotide long non-coding RNA is filed under the name Homo sapiens (human). RNAcentral describes it as "HSALNT0174753". Lineage: Eukaryota; Metazoa; Chordata; Mammalia; Primates; Hominidae. The record is from RNAcentral.
CACAGCUGGAAGGAGUCUGGUCCUUGAAUCACCAUUUGGAGAAAAAACGUUUGUCAACCAGGAAUCCCCACUUUGGACUGUUGGGGUUGGGAGUGUGGGAAAUCUUUGUGUCUAAGCUCCAUGUGUUCCAGGGUCUGGUUGUUAGAGUCCUAAUCCAGUGCUCUCUCCAGCUGCAGAUGAUCCCAUCCUGCCUGCACAGCUUCUCCAGGGGAGAUAGACACACAGAAGCCCACGAGAGUCAAAUAAGAGCCAUACCUUCCAGGUCUCCAUGACACAGACAUCCUCCACCACACCUGUUAAGAAAGUCGAAAUCGUCACUGCCACCCACACUGGGGUUCUGCUUUCCUGAUUACACCUUUCUCAUCUCUAUCACCUAUGCCAGGAACCCAAACCCAAGUCUUCCCAGCUGUGUGCAGAAUCACAGUGGCCACACCAAGACAACAGGUGGGGUCAAUGUCACAGCCCAUUAGGCUGCAUCUGUGUCCACUGGCUCCCUCAUCAACCACACAAAACAAAACAGAGACUACACAACAAUCUACUCUCCCUGCUUUAUGUUUUGUCUUUCUAAAACGCCUACAUAUUCUUUGGGUCAGGGACGAUCAUGUCUCUUCUUCCCAUAUCUUCCCCAGUGCCCAGCAGCAGCAUAGUACACCUAAAGGUGCUGCACUCUUGAUGUGGAUGCUGAUGAAAAGGAGAGUAGAAAUAAUAACAAUAUGUUUCGACGGGGCAUGGUGGCUCAUGCCUGUAACCCCAGCACUUCGAGAGGCCAAGGCAAGAAGACC